AAUUCUGGUAGUUUAAAGCUUGUAAUUUGGAUCUUUCUUGUGUAAAGACUGGAUUUUUAUUUAAGAUUUUAAGUUGGUAUUUGAUGAAGCUGAAAGCUUUUGUACUCUGUAGUGAAACAGGUUUUGGUUGAUAUUUCACUCGCUGUAAUUCACUAGCGUUGAGUUUUGUCUUGGGUUGAAUGGGAUAAAGUUGAAGCUAUUUUUGGAUGUUUUGAGUACAAGAAUUUUCUUUAUUUGUGCUGUGGAUUUAGCUUUUCUUAGGUCCUUUUUUAUUUGUGGUGGCUUCAAAUUAAGUAGAAUAAGGAUUGAAGCUGCAGAAAUGAGGCUUUCUUCUGCUGGUUCCAAUCAGCAGUCUCCUGAAGGUAAAGUUGUCAUUUUCAAUCUUUAAGAGAAUGUUGCAAUAUCAUUUUUCUGCCGCUAUUGCUUUCUUCCAUCUAUUUUUCCGGUUUAUACAGUGUUGAUAUCAUUUUUCUGUCCUUUGUUGUUGAUAUUUGCUUGUUUCUAUUCUUACUCGAGCCGAGAGUCUCUCGAAAAUAGCUUAUCUGCCUCCCUAGGCCAGGUGUAGAUCUGUCUGCACACUGACCUCCCCAGAUCCCAUUUGUGGGAUUUCACUGAUUUUUUGUUGUUGUUGUUGUAAGAGAAUGUUGCAAUAUGUGUUACUUCCUUUAGAAACUUAGCUGAUCUUCUUCUUUAAGUUGCAUAUAAGAACUUGUCUGUUUAAGCAUAAUUGAGAUGUCAUAAAUCUAUCUCCUUUUCUCUUUUAUUCUUGCUUUAAUUUUCUUUCACAUGUCCUUUCCUCUAUUUAUUUUAAUUCUAAUGUUUCUUUAUAUUCAUUUCUUUUAUCUACAAGUUGCUUUCAGUUUGAGAUCAGUCUACAGAAUUGCUGUACAGAUGUUCACCCUUGCUCUUUCAACUUUAUAUUGAUUUUUUACCAUACCUUUUUCUCUUAUGGAUCACCUGGUUCUUAUUAUCAUGAGUGAGUUUUUUGAUAGCUUUGAGCUUGGUAUGCUUAACAUCUAUGUUGCUCGGACUCUCCGUAAAUGUUGCCGGUUGCGUGUUGGAUCCUCCAAAAAUAGAUCGGACAGGGGUGCAACAUUAUUUUGGAGAGUCCGCGCAACAUAACUUAACAUCCUUUUUCCCUACCUUUCUAUAACCGGAAUCUUUUUAACUUAAGACUACAACUGCGCCUCAAUUCCGAGCAAGUUGGGGUCGGCUAUAUGGAUCAAUCUUUUGAAUAUUCUUUUUUUAAAAAUGUUUCGAAAUACUUUCUUGAUCUUCAAUCUCUCUAUAAGAGGAAAAUAAGAAUUUUGCUGAUCUAGUUCUUGAAGAAUUUAUGUUCUCAAUGUGAUUUGAAUUGCAGGGGAGAAUAAAUGUUUGAAUUC
Molecule: long non-coding RNA, 1382 nt
Filed under: Nicotiana tabacum (common tobacco)
Lineage: Eukaryota; Viridiplantae; Streptophyta; Magnoliopsida; Solanales; Solanaceae
Description: long non-coding RNA (NTAB_LNC005997)
Source: RNAcentral